RNAcentral lists this transfer RNA (64 nucleotides) under Promethis valgipes. RNAcentral's name for it is "tRNA-Ile". The record is from RNAcentral. Lineage: Eukaryota; Metazoa; Arthropoda; Insecta; Coleoptera; Tenebrionidae.
AACGAAGUGCCUGAGGAAAGGACUAUUUUGAUAGAGUAGGUCACGUAUUUAUAUACCUUCGUUA